AGUGAACGCUGGCGGUAGGCCUAACACAUGCAAGUCGAACGGCAGCACAGUAAGGGCUUGCUCUUACGGGUGGCGAGUGGCGGACGGGUGAGGAAUACAUCGGAAUCUACUUUUUCGUGGGGGAUAACGUAGGGAAACUUACUCUAAUACCGCAUACGACCUACGGGUGAAAGCAGGGGAUCUUCGGACCUUGCGCGAUUGAAUGAGCCGAUGUCGGAUUAGCUAGUUGGCGGGGUAAAGGCCCACCAAGGCGACGAUCCGUAGCUGGUCUGAGAGGAUGAUCAGCCACACUGGAACUGAGACACGGUCCAGACUCCUACGGGAGGCAGCAGUGGGGAAUAUUGGACAAUGGGCGCAAGCCUGAUCCAGCCAGACCGCGUGGGUGAAGAAGGCCUUCGGGUUGUAAAGCCCUUUUGUUGGGAAAGAAAAGCAGCAGGUUAAUACCCCGCUGUUCUGACGGUACCCAAAGAAUAAGCACCGGCUAACUUCGUG
Molecule: ribosomal RNA, 492 nt
Filed under: uncultured bacterium
Lineage: Bacteria
Description: partial 16S ribosomal RNA
Rfam family: Bacterial small subunit ribosomal RNA
Source: RNAcentral